Cyprinus carpio (common carp) is the source of this 1143-nucleotide long non-coding RNA. NCBI's taxonomy places the organism in Eukaryota, Metazoa, Chordata, Actinopteri, Cypriniformes, Cyprinidae. The record is from Ensembl.
UAUUAUUAUACUAUUAUUUAAGUUUUUUUUAUUUUCGUUUCAGUUUUCAUUUUAAUUGUAGUUCUAGUAAUGUUAUGUGCUUUUGCUAUUUUUAUUUUUUAUAUUUCUAUUUAGCUUUAUUUUUAUUUCAGUUUUAGUAAUUUUAGUAUUUCAACUGUUUUAUGUAUGAUUUGUGAACAAUCCAAUGAAUAUUCAGUGAAUCGCAAAACCUCUCGCUGGCAGAGAAUUUUAUCAGUUAUUAUGAAUAAUAACUUGAAUAUUAACAUUGAAUAAAAACUUGAAUUUUAGUUUGUUUCUUACAAUAACUUACAUUACUUUGGAAAUCUUGGAACAUUGUGCACGAGUUGUUUAUACAUUUACAGUGUAUUUGCAUCCUCAAAGCUUGAAAGCUCUGGGAGAUGAUGAUUUGUUUUGAACAACGUGACGGUGAGUAAAUGAUGACAGAUUUUCAUUUCUGGAUGAACUAUUCCUUUACUUCCACCUCCAUGCUGUUUUGUAAAUGAAUAAUCUCUAUAUUUAAUUCCCUUCUGCUCUGUCUGUAUUUUUCCUCUUUCUCUCACUUUAUACUCGUAAAGCUAAUGAGAACUGGUCACACUCCGGGCCCUAUAAACAUGCAUGCUCUGGCAGUGCUCUGUUCUUCAUCAAACCUCAGUGGCACUGAGGUGCACAGUAGGAACUAACACAAUUAUCCGCUAUGACCUUUCAGCAACUCCCCCAGCAUCGUAUGCCUAUCCCGAGAGACUCCGGCCGGCCCCGAUCAGGAGUCACGCCUGUAGGAAGGGCCUCAUGUGUGACAGCUUUCCAGACACCAUGUCAGUUUAACUCCAGGGGGACGUGGCCAGACAGCACCAACAGCCAGUGCUCCAUGGAUUGCUUAUUUACGAAACACCCUGUUAGAAUGCUGAUGAACGAUAUGCUCUCACGCCUGCUCACUACUGACCCCUGUAGCCCAGUGGUUGAGCAGGCAACCAUGCGACUGGCCACUUUAGCAGCAUGUUCUCGGGUUCAUAGGAUCACAGAACUCACUUCUCCACCAUGAAGAAAUCGCCAUCAGAAUCCAUGAGUUUUAUCACUGAGGUGCCAUGUAAGUUUAUUUUUACAGACGUCUGAUGCUAAACACAGCUCAACAUGAUACAUUAUGCC